UGCCACGUAUCGGCGAAGGUUGGGAC
RNAcentral lists this non-coding RNA (26 nucleotides) under Homo sapiens (human). Lineage: Eukaryota; Metazoa; Chordata; Mammalia; Primates; Hominidae. The record is from RNAcentral.